UGUGAAACUACACAAAAUUGUAAGCAUUUUUUAUGUAUGAAAUUUUUUACAUACCAUCCAUAGAUAAUUUACUACAAAUUAAUUCAUUUUAACAUGGAAUCACGCAAAUCAAUGCAAACUUCAGGUUAAACAUUUUUAAACAUGCAUCAAAGUUGGUUAGUAUGAACUAACACGAAAUUCUGAAUAAUUUACAUAUCUAAAUUAUUUUAAUAUGGUGUAUGGUUGAAAAUUUAUUACCAUUUUAAAAUGAUGCUUUUUCUGUAAUUAAAAUGCAUUGAUUAAUUAGGAAAAUACUGCACACAAUAAAAAAAACACUACGUGCUGAAUCCCGAUGUGGUCCAACAACAGAUGGGCACAACAUAGCUAUGCGGUGUAGCGGGCGAAGGAUAGGUCAACAUGAGUGGGGCUGGGUUGG
RNAcentral lists this long non-coding RNA (415 nucleotides) under Hordeum vulgare. Its description in RNAcentral is "long non-coding RNA (HVUL_LNC003896)". Lineage: Eukaryota; Viridiplantae; Streptophyta; Magnoliopsida; Poales; Poaceae. The record is from RNAcentral.